CCUACGGGAGGCAGCAGUGAGGAAUAUUGGUCAAUGGACGAGAGUCUGAACCAGCCAAGUAGCGUGAAGGAUGACUGCCCUAUGGGUUGUAAACUUCUUUUAUAUGGGAAUAAAAUGUUCCACGUGUGGGAUUUUGUAUGUACCAUAUGAAUAAGGAUCGGCUAACUCCGUGCCAGCAGCCGCGGUAAUACGGAGGAUCCGAGCGUUAUCCGGAUUUAUUGGGUUUAAAGGGAGCGUAGGUGGAUUGUUAAGUCAGUUGUGAAAGUUUGCGGCUCAACCGUAAAAUUGCGGUUGAAACUGGCAGUCUUGAGUACAGUAGAGGUAGGCGGAAUUCGUGGUGUAGCGGUGAAAUGCUUAGAUAUCACGAAGAACUCCGAUUGUGAAGGCAGUUCACUGGACUGCAACUGACACUGAGGCUCGAAAGUGUGGGUAUCAAACAGGAUUAGAUACCCUAGUAGUC
This 460-nucleotide ribosomal RNA is filed under the name uncultured bacterium. RNAcentral's name for it is "partial 16S ribosomal RNA". It matches the Rfam family "Bacterial small subunit ribosomal RNA", at positions 338 to 795 of the family's 1533-position model. The record is from RNAcentral.